AAGGAAUAAGUUUUGUCAAAUACUGAGUUGUCAAUUCAGAGAGGGCCUAUGAAGCCAUUCCUUG
RNAcentral lists this transfer RNA (64 nucleotides) under Linognathus africanus. RNAcentral's name for it is "tRNA-Asp". Lineage: Eukaryota; Metazoa; Arthropoda; Insecta; Psocodea; Linognathidae. The record is from RNAcentral.